RNAcentral lists this ribosomal RNA (422 nucleotides) under uncultured bacterium. RNAcentral's name for it is "bacterial SSU rRNA". It matches the Rfam family "Bacterial small subunit ribosomal RNA", at positions 355 to 774 of the family's 1533-position model. The record is from RNAcentral.
UGAGGAAUAUUGGGCAAUGCCCGCGAGGGUGACCCAGCAACGCCGCGUGGAGGAUGAAUGUCGUAAGAUUGUAAACUCCUGUUAGAGGGGAAGAAUAGUACCGGUUGGACCGGUAUAUGACUGUACCCUCAGAGAAAGCCCCGGCUAACUACGUGCCAGCAGCCGCGGUAAUACGUAGGGGGCAAGCGUUGUCCGGAUUUACUGGGUGUAAAGGGCGCGCAGGCGGGAUAAAAAGUCAGUGGUGAAAUCCUACAGCUUAACUGUAGAACUGCCUUUGAUACUUUUAUUCUUGAGUUCGGGAGAGAGAGACGGAAUUCCAGGUGUAGUGGUGAAAUACGUAGAUAUCUGGAAGAACACCAGUUGCGAAGGCGGUCUCUUGGUCCGACACUGACGCUGAGGCGCGAAAGCGUGGGGAGCAAACA